This 1795-nucleotide long non-coding RNA is filed under the name Centruroides sculpturatus (bark scorpion). Its description in RNAcentral is "uncharacterized LOC111637010". The record is from RNAcentral. Lineage: Eukaryota; Metazoa; Arthropoda; Arachnida; Scorpiones; Buthidae.
CUGCAUUUAGUCAGAUAAGAAUGCUCCUUCCGUCUUCUAAGAUAAUUUCAAAAUGGAGUUAAUCCAAGACUUUGCACGUGUUACAGUCAGCAGGAUGAUAAAUAUUUUUAGCUUACAGCUGACAGAGAUAGAAAAGAAAGGCGUAAAGUACAUAAAAAGUUACAUGAAGAACCGGUAAAAGUUGUUAUUCCAGUAGUUUUGAUGGCAGAUAUCUUUUAGUGGCCUCAAAGGAGCAUCCCCGAACAUCUUACAUAAAUAAGAAGGAUUGUAAGAGGAGAGAGGAGUCGGAGAACGAAUUAUUAAAGCUGAAAUUAGAAAAAUAAAGAGAUGGGAUAUGAAAAAAUGUAUUGUAAUGAAGGGAAUAGAAUCGAAGCAAAGAAAGGAUAACGAAGAGCAUUAGCAUCCUCAUCUUCAGCAUCAGUUCAGCUUGCUUAUAACUGAUUUAUUACACAACUCUACAAUUGUUAUAGAGCUAUAGUUAAUGCAUUUGUGAUUAGGAAAACAAUUGUAAAUUGAGCCCAACCUCUGAACAACGACCAUUGAUUCGAACAUAAAAAUGGCCGUAGUUUAGAGAUGUCCGUUGUUGGAAGGUUGUUAUUAAUAAAGAAUCGAAGAGGAGAAAGGAUAACGAGGAACAUCACUUCUCAUCUUCAGCAUCAAUUGUGAUUUAGCUUGCUUACAACUGAUUUAUUACAUAACUUUAUAACUGUUAGAAAGACAGAAUUAAUGCAAAUUCGAUCAAGGAAACGUCGAAAAAUCGAGCCGAAAAAAGGUAAUUACGAAAUGAAAGAUAUUCUACAAUUAAAUUAAUCAUCUUUGGUGAUCAUCAGCAUCACUUUUGCUACCUUGAAAGGAAGGGGGAAUUAGUUAGAUAAUCGACAUAAAUUUCGUCUAAAAUAACGCAGUUCGAAGUGAAUCAGCAUUUUGAAAAAGUUCUCCAAACGUAUCGAUAAGGGAGUGAUUAAUGAGGGAAGCAAAUGAUGCUGUCCAGCACUUUAAAAAAAAAAAAGAGAAGGGGGAGGCCAAAAAAAGUGCCAAAAACUGCACGUUUAAGCCAUUCGUACAGGGAACAAAGAUUGAUAAUGUUCAAACACGCGACAUGGCUUAAGUUAAUGCUGCAUAUAGAUCUUGAUAAAGCAGAUAUUAGUACAGGUUACGUUUCCUUGUAGAUAGCCAGGUUUAUUUAUAUAUUUUAAUCUUUAUCUGACAAUAUUAAAAAGAGAAUUACUAAUUUAUCCUCUUUUAUAAUUUUUUUUAAUAUCUCUUAUCGUUCAGAUUGGAUAGAUUGAUAGCCAAAGUGUUUAUUCACCCGAUUAUCUCUUCAUAACUUUAAUUAUUAAGAAAUUCUCAACGAAAAGAAAGAGUAAAACUAAAACCAGAACGUUAUUAAAUAACUUUAAAUUAAUUUAAAAUUCAUCUGACAGUUCUAGAAGCAUCGAACCGAGUUUAAAAUAACGUAAACAAUGUUCUAGUUAUCCAAUUUUCUGCAUCAUCUUCUUCUUCUUCUUCCUUCUCCUCCGGAUGCGAGAGGAUAGCAUCUCUCUCUUCUCCAUCCUCUUUCUCUUUAACUUAGUCAUUCCGAUAUCACCUUAGUUAAGUAAUAAAUUUCAAAAAAAUGCAAAACGUUAUCUGAUUGGUCGAAUCGUUGGAAACAAUGACCAAUAACUUAAAUGUACGUAGUGAAGCGAAACUUAGAAAUAACUUUUACAUUUUCCUAGCCAUUGAUUCGUUUAUCGUAAACUUUCUGAUCCGGGACCUUCAAUUUGUCAUAAGUCAGGCGAAGUAGUAAUGCCGA